CCUACGGGCGGCAGCAGUGAGGAAUAUUGGUCAAUGGGCGGAAGCCUGAACCAGCCAAGUAGCGUGAGGGAUGAAGGUCCUACGGGUCGUAAACCGCUUUUGCAGGGGGAUAAUACCGUCCACGCGUGGAGGUAUGCAGGUUACGCGCGAAUUAGGGAUGGCUAAUUCCGUGCCAGCAGCCGCGGUAAUACGGAAGGCCCGAGCGUUAUCCGGAUUUAUUGGGCUUAAAGGGAGCGUAGGCGGGCGUUCAAGUCAGCGGUAAAAUGGUGCGGCUCAACCCCGCCCCGCAGUUGAAACUGGGCGCCUUGAGUGCACAACAAGCAUGCGGAAUGCGUGGUGUAGCGGUGAAAUGCAUAGAUAUCACGCAGAACCCCGAUUGCGAAGGCAGCCUACCGGGGCCCGACUGACGCUGAGGCUCGAAGGUGCGGGGAUCAAACAGGAUUAGAUACCCGAGUAGUC
RNAcentral lists this ribosomal RNA (459 nucleotides) under uncultured bacterium. Its description in RNAcentral is "partial 16S ribosomal RNA". It matches the Rfam family "Bacterial small subunit ribosomal RNA", at positions 338 to 795 of the family's 1533-position model. The record is from RNAcentral.